RNAcentral lists this ribosomal RNA (253 nucleotides) under uncultured bacterium. Its description in RNAcentral is "partial 16S ribosomal RNA". It matches the Rfam family "Bacterial small subunit ribosomal RNA", at positions 524 to 776 of the family's 1533-position model. The record is from RNAcentral.
UACGAAGGGGGCUAGCGUUGUUCGGAAUCAUUGGGCGUAAAGGGUGCGUAGGCGGGUUUUUAAGUCAGGGGUGAAAUCCUGGAGCUCAACUCCAGAACUGCCUUUGAUACUGAAGAUCUUGAGUCCGGGAGAGGUGAGUGGAACUGCGAGUGUAGAGGUGAAAUUCGUAGAUAUUCGCAAGAACACCAGUGGCGAAGGCGGCUUACCGGUCCGGUUCUGACGCUGAGGCGCGAAAGCGUGGGGAGCAAACAGG